GGGAACUGUCUGAUUUUUGAGAAUGUCUGUAUUUGAAGUAUGCUGGUUAAUAAUAUGUCACUUUUAUUAAUAUUGCAUGUAUACUUUAAAGUUAUAAGAAUUACAUUAGCCCAUUGUGUACACUAAUUAUAUCACAGGCAGAGGGGAGGGUUUGUGUGUCCUCACUGGGAGUGUUUAACCGUAUUAUUAUGUGUUUGAUUGGCUGUGCAACAAGACCAUGUAGGAGGUAACAUUUUGUAACAACUUGCAUAUAAGACAAUAAACACUCCGACUGCUGAGUUCCUGUUUUACCCUCAACAUAGAGCCUCAUCUCAUGUGUGGGGAAGCACUAGGAGCAUCCAUCAACGGAGGUACUUGGUUGGACUACUGGAGCUCCGUUACAGUAGCCUUCUGUACAGAAGGCCUAAUGAAAGUUAAUGUGUUUGAUGUCCUCGCAUCUGUGUAGCAGAGCCUUAGUCCUGACCGGAACUUUCCUCCACUGGAUCACAAAUACUGGAAGUCAGGAACAAGAAAUAGCCAAGUGAAUAGCGCACCUCAUCCCCAGGAACUGGAAAACACGGGAGUACAACUGAUUUUAUUCUGCUACACAUGGCUUUUUAUGCAUUGGCCCCUAGCAUGGGGAUUUCACAU
Non-coding RNA from Pelobates cultripes (western spadefoot toad), 630 nucleotides. The record is from the annotation of a GenBank genome assembly. NCBI's taxonomy places the organism in Eukaryota, Metazoa, Chordata, Amphibia, Anura, Pelobatidae.